This is a long non-coding RNA of Eriocheir sinensis (Chinese mitten crab), 933 nucleotides long. RefSeq lists it as uncharacterized. The transcript has 7 exons. The record is from RefSeq and is a predicted model, not a curated record. NCBI's taxonomy places the organism in Eukaryota, Metazoa, Arthropoda, Malacostraca, Decapoda, Varunidae.
GAGGCGGUGUCGUGGUGAUUGUGUUGGAAGAGGGAGGCAACGUGUUCUUGUACCGAGAAACGCGGAACAGCAAGAUGGACAGCCGCAGACACGGAGAGAGAGACAAACGGAAUUCAAUGGGAAGGGAAGCAAGGGAAGAAGACAGGUCGAGGUUAUCAUCAUCAUCAACAGAGUCAUCGUCGUCAGAGUCCUUCAGCGACAGUAGGGAGGAGGCCGCAAAACAUCUACUGGCCGAAGAUGUGGAGACGAAGGAGAAGAGAGGAGGAGAGGGAGAUGAAGAAAAUAAUGGAGGAGAAGGAGGAGGAGAUGAGGAUCCUGAAGAAAAAGUUGAAUGAAAAGGAAACUGAAAAGAUACUGCUUGAACAUCGGAUAAGAGAGAUGGAGAGAAGGUUGAAGAUUGAGAAGGAUGCGGAGGUGGAUGAGGCGAAGAGACGGAUGGCGAAGGAGAGGAGGGAAGAGUGGAUGGCGUGGGAGGAGGAGAAAACAAGAAGAGGACAUCGCUGGUGGAGGCGUGGGCGAAGGAGAAGGCCAAGCUGGAGGAGCCGAAUGGAUCUUUGGGGCGGAGAGCAGAUCACUACCAGGGAGCAUCUAUUGAGCUGCAAGAGAGGAAGGAGGAACUCGAGGGUGACAUGCGCCGGUUGGAAGGAAGGAACGAGGCGCUCUUGGAGAACUAUAAAGAACUUGAGUAUUUUAGGAAGCGCUGCGUGGCCAUCCUGAGGGGCGAGAGGGUGGACACAGACACGGUACGAGAGUUUAUCCAAGACGCGGCUGGCGAGGACGAGCUGCAGCUGCACGUGGCCGUCUCCCUGGGCUUGGACAGGCACGUGGAGGGUUUAUUGCGAAGACUCAACGGCACGGAGCGGAACGACAGGCAUGAGUAACACAGCCUUUGGGAACAAGUUGGGGGAGGCGGUGGCUGAAUAGAUAACGUGA